RNAcentral lists this long non-coding RNA (2604 nucleotides) under Olea europaea (common olive). Its description in RNAcentral is "long non-coding RNA (OEUR_LNC006587)". The record is from RNAcentral. Lineage: Eukaryota; Viridiplantae; Streptophyta; Magnoliopsida; Lamiales; Oleaceae.
AGAUGUCGUGGCAAUCAUACAUAGAUGAUCACUUGAUGGCGGAUAUUGAAGGUAACCACCUCGCCGCCGCCGCCAUCCUCGGUCAUGAUGGCAGUGUCUGGGCUCAGAGCACUACCUUCCCUCAGGUCUUUUUUUUUUUUUUUUUUUUUAUAUUUAAUUGAUUCAUGUAUUAAAAUGCAUUAAUAUGGUAGUUUUUUAUUGUCUCAUAGAUCAAAUCAUUAACUGUCACAAACAUGUCAUGUAGGAAGACUGAUAGUGAGCUACUGUAAAUAGUACUAUUCUUCGGAUGAUAACUUUGGUAUAUUUCAUUUAGUAGAUAUAAGCUAGUUAACUAAUUAAUUGUAGGAGUGUGGUUGUUUAUGACAUUUUACUUGAACAUACUAAAAUACAGUAUUUAUAGGAUAAAAAAUGUGAAAAUUUAAAAUUUGAAUUAGUAAAUAAAAUGAGGUAAGACAUGUAGCCCUCGUUUGGCUCCCAUUCUUUCCAAAUUUUAAUCGAUGGAAUAGUGUUUUUAAAAAAUGUGUGGUUGAAAAAGAAUGAAAAGUUUUUUAUUUGAGUAUAAUAUUAUUUUAUGAAAGAUUGUGUGAUUGAAAAUAAGAGAAAAAACUGAGAAGGAGAGUUAUACAUCACAUCAAGUCACCAUAUUUGAUUUUUUUAUCUCUUGUAUGGAGCUCAUAAUGACUAUAUUUUUCAUUCUCAUUUUUACAAUAAUGUGGCUAAAAAAGAGGCUUAAUUAAUCCAAGUAAAAAACUUGAAACAGAUUAAAAAAAAUCUUUCAAAAAAAAAUCUUUCUAAAUGUACAUUCUGGUUCACAUCCCACAUUAUCAAAUUUAAAUUUGGCACAAUCUCACAAUAUCUAUCAAUCUCGCACAUUUAAUUCAACCAUUAUAAUACUUUCAUGUCAUCAAUCUGUCAACUAAAGGGUCAAACAAGGUGUACGAAUAGUUUAAUCCAAAAUUUAAAGAAAAAUUGAUACAUGGCUGUUUUCUUCAGGUGCUGAAACUGUGAUUAUACUUGUCAGUCAGUCCAUGGGCCAGAGUGUUAAAAGUGGAACUUUUGCAAAAGUAGAAGUUUUAUCUCUGCCAAACGGCCCAAACCUUCUAUUACUGGACACUGUUGGGCUAAUGGUGACCCAAAAUGAGCCCAGUCUAAAGACCACCAAGAAAGAUACUAAUACGUUGGAAAAAGAGUAUGACUACUUUCCUUGUGUCGACCAUUGAAGUUAUUUGAAUCGACCCAACUCAAUCUUAUGCACCAAUUUCUUGAAUGUGAAUUGUGAAUAAGUCAAAUUGAUUGUCACUUGAUUGUAUUUAUUGAUUUCAAUAUCGCAAUUAUUUGAAACUCGUGCACACAUAAGAAUUUUGCUUAAAUACGCUCCUUUAGUUUUCUAUCAAUAUAGCCUCCUUAGAGAUUUAUGAUAUAAUAUGAGGCUUGUUUGGUAGUGAUUAUGAGAAAUGAUUUUUUGACCGUAAAAAGAAAAGCGAAUCCCACAUGUGAGUGAAGAAAUGAAAAAUAAAUUUUAUUUGUGAGUGAAGAAGUAAAAAAUAAUCGCAGAAUAGUGAAAUAACGAUUAAAAAAUUAAUUUUUUGGGGUGAAAAAUUGCUAUUAAACGAGGGCAUGAUGGAGAAAAAUCGUGGUCAAGUUCCUUGUCUCCAUUUAAUAACAUAGAAGGGAAAAGUCAUAUACAGAAAUCGCAACAAAAAUUUAGAGGCUUGGGGGAAAAUAAAGUUUUCUUUAUUGUAAAUCCAGCUUUUUUCAAAAGAAUAGUUUGUGUAUGAAUGUUCGUAAUAAAAUAUCUUUUUAUGGGUAAAGUUCAUCCAUUGACAUCAUCGAUAAACUUAGAUUUUUUGUGAAAAAAAUAUCACUUUCAUGAAAAAAAUUCGUGGUUGAAGUUGACCCCAAAAAACAAAAAAAAAAACAAAAAACCAAAAACAAAAAAAACCAAAAACAAAAAAAUGAAAAAAUGGAAAAACAAAAAGCUGGAGUUGUAACAAGAAUUCCAGUCAAUUUUGAUUAAAAUUAGUCAAAGUUGAACGUGUUAUAAAAUACUUUAUAAAUAAAGUAAAUGAAAAUUACAAUAUUUUAGACAUUUAAAGAUCAGAAUGCGCGAAAAUCAUGUAGGAAAGUUUUUUAUUCAAAAUUCAGGUAUUAAUUUAAUUAUUAAUAUUAAUAUAAAAUAAUUCAAUCCUAUUUCAAUUCAUCCCAAUUUUAUUCUAAAUCCUAGGUUAAGAUCAGACUCUCCUCUCUCACCACUCCCUAUGAUUGGCGUCGCUGCAAGAAGACCGACGUGAAACUGAACCACGUCUUUUUCUUUUCUUUGAGAAAGUAAUCGUACUCCAAUUCUCAAAUCUCACGUAAAAGUACGUACAAGAAUCAAAAAUUCGAAUAAAUCGAAGAUGUCGUGGCAAUCAUACAUAGAUGAUCACUUGAUGGCGGAUAUUGAAGGUAACCACCUCGCCGCCGCCGCCAUCCUCGGUCAUGAUGGCAGUGUCUGGGCUCAGAGCACUACCUUCCCUCAGGUCUUUUUUUUUUUUUUUUUUUUACAGUUUUAUUUGUCGAAUGGUUUUCGUUUUUCAGUUCAAUUUUAGAUCUUCUGAGUAUUUA